AGUUUCAGGUACAGGCAUCACUUUCCGAAAACAGGUGAUUCUCCUUCUGACGAAUCCUUCAGAGGGUCAGUAGCAGCUAAACGCUAUGUCUCACUGCCUGCGCCACUCACCUCACUUCACUUCCACCCGCCGGCAUUUGAUCAUCUCACUCAUCUCACCUCUUCACGAGAACGAUCUCUUCAGCACAGUGGAGUGAUAUUAAGCAUGUGACUCCCAUGCCAAAGUUACAGACUAUGCACUAGUUGAAGAAAAGAUCAUUUGGGAUAUGGAGGAGAGGUCUGAAGCUGGAACAGCCUUUCUGUGACCCUGAAGGAAAGACUAAGAAAUCGCAGAAUCUUUAACCCAGACCUAUUCAAACUUCAAUAAUAUCAUCAGCUAACCCUACCUCUGAGCAUCUUGACUUCUAUAGACUCAGCAGCAGAAGCCUGAAUGGCAUGUAUUUCUCCGCGUUGAUGUCUCUCAUUCAUACUUGUGAUAUGCAGCAGGACACAAAGAAUUCACAAAAUGCAAACAGAUGAAUGGCCUAGAGAACCAUGUCUGGGACCUUGACUUAUUCAUCUCCUAGUGAUGGGGAUGGAGAUUCGAAAAGCCAUGAUCAUGAAACAGUAUGCUUCAACUGAUGGGGUUCUAGGAAUAUCUAAAUAAGGCAUAACGACCCAGUCAAUAUGGAGCUCAAUUUAAUAUUUG
Molecule: long non-coding RNA, 687 nt
Organism: Felis catus (domestic cat)
Lineage: Eukaryota; Metazoa; Chordata; Mammalia; Carnivora; Felidae
Exons: 4
Source: RefSeq, a predicted model, not a curated record